AAAUUGAAGAGUUUGAUCAUGGCUCAGAUUGAACGCUGGCGGCAGGCCUAACACAUGCAAGUCGAGCGGAAACGACAACAUUGACUCUUCGGAGGAUUUGUUGGGCGUCGAGCGGCGGACGGGUGAGUAAUGCCUAGGAAAUUGCCUUGAUGUGGGGGAUAACCAUUGGAAACGAUGGCUAAUACCGCAUGAUGCCUACGGGCCAAAGAGGGGGACCUUCGGGCCUCUCGCGUCAAGAUAUGCCUAGGUGGGAUUAGCUAGUUGGUGAGGUAAUGGCUCACCAAGGCGACGAUCCCUAGCUGGUCUGAGAGGAUGAUCAGCCACACUGGAACUGAGACACGGUCCAGACUCCUACGGGAGGCAGCAGUGGGGAAUAUUGCACAAUGGGCGAAAGCCUGA
This 399-nucleotide ribosomal RNA is filed under the name Vibrio cyclitrophicus. Its description in RNAcentral is "bacterial SSU rRNA". It matches the Rfam family "Bacterial small subunit ribosomal RNA", at positions 1 to 386 of the family's 1533-position model. Lineage: Bacteria; Pseudomonadati; Pseudomonadota; Gammaproteobacteria; Vibrionales; Vibrionaceae. The record is from RNAcentral.